Long non-coding RNA from Macaca mulatta (Rhesus monkey), 1690 nucleotides. Lineage: Eukaryota; Metazoa; Chordata; Mammalia; Primates; Cercopithecidae. The record is from Ensembl.
AUGGGAGAUUAUGCUAAGAUCACAUGGACUUCUUCUCUUCAAUUACUAGAGAGCUCUUCAAUUCUCUGUGUGUCUUUUUAUGUCACUUCCCAAGAACGUGGUUUGUUUGGAUCUGCAAAUCUUCAGAAACUGGUCCCGUUUUUUUUUUUUUUAAAUUUUUCUGUUUCCAAAAAUGCAGUUUUUUGUUUGUUGUGGGCUGUGAUGCAAAUCGCAUUUCGUAGUCCCUGUCUUUGGAGAUGCUCCAAUCAGUCCCUCGGAGAAAGACAGAAAUGGAUUCCUUUGUUCUUUCUGUUCUUUCCGGGCAACCUGCCUCUGAGGGGAAGAGGGCCCAGACAUAGGAUGCUGUGUCACUGGAAAAGCUGUCUGAUUCUCUGAACGUGACGCAAGCCUUGCAGUCACCACCACCGUGAAGGUCAGGUACAGCACCCAAGGCACUUGCUGCAGUAUGCCUUUCUUCCCCUGCAAUUGAGGUGAUAAUUGAAUCAUAAUACCACUGCACGCCUUGGGUUAUAGGAAUCCCAUUUCCCACUCAGCAUUGCAUUCAAGACAAAGGACACACCAGGUCAACCCUAACAUCUCACAUCAGAUGUUCAUAAACGGCUCACACUGUCUGUACUUUAUGUGUUUUUUUUUUACUCAUUAAAGAGUCAAGGAGAAACAGCUUUGAAGAAGGAGCCCAAAUGAUAUUAGAGUUCAUACUUAUUUUUAAACUUCAAAAAGAUAGGUAUCUAAACACUACUUACUGGAGAAAUGGAGGGGUGUAUUUUAGCCAUUGUAGAUUUCCUAACAGUAAUUAUUAACUAUACAACCAUGCAAACUCAUUAUUAAGUACUUAGUGUGCUUUUGACAUCAGCCCCGUCGUGAUGUCUUUGAAUUGCGUGAGCUGUUUUGUAGGACAGUACACAUCUGUCCUGGAAGUGUCCCAGAGAGCCAGCACACUCCAUCACCUGCUGGAUUGUGGCUGUGUUGGGAACCUGUCUACGUCUAAAACAUAAUUGGCUGGAUAAAAUCUGUGAUCUUUGUGAGCUCUGCAAGGGCAAAGCUGGUUAACUUGUUAAUUUCAAGGGAGUAAUGUUAACAUUGUUCAUUUGGCUUAUGGCAUCAAGGUUAUUAGAAUUUAGGGACUUGAUAGAUUUCUCCAUCUGCUACAUCAGUGGUAAUUGUAGAAAUUAGCUAAAAUGCACUACUGCUUAAAUGCAAUGGAAAAAUAUUUAUUUGUUUGCUUGUUUAUUUAUUUAUUUAUUUAUUUUCAGACAGAGUCUCGCUCUGUCGGCCAGGCUGGAGUGCAGUGGCAUGAUCUCGGCUCACUGCAACCUCUGGCUCAAGCGAUUCUCCUGCCUCAGCCUCCUGAGUAGCUGGGAUUACAGGUGCGUGCCACCACGCCUGAUUAAUUUUGUAUUUUUAGUAGAGACAAGGUUUCACCAUGUUGGCCAGGCUGCUCUUGAACUCCUGACCUCAGGUAAUCCUUCCGCCUUGGCCUCCCAAAGUGCUGGGAUUACAGGCGUGAGCCACCGUGCCCAGCCAAAUAUUUCUUUCUUUUAGGAGGACUCCUCCCCAUCAACCCCCACUUCUUUGAUACUUAAAAGAGUGAGAAAAAAAAUGUGUUACGUUGUGUGCGUGUAUAUAAACAUUAGUGUGUUUGUGUGUGUGUGUAUAUGUAUGUAUAUUAUAUAUACAAUGUGUGUGUGUC